This 275-nucleotide ribosomal RNA is filed under the name uncultured bacterium. Its description in RNAcentral is "partial 16S ribosomal RNA". It matches the Rfam family "Bacterial small subunit ribosomal RNA", at positions 80 to 354 of the family's 1533-position model. The record is from RNAcentral.
UUUCUCCGCCGGCGACCGGCGCACGGGUGAGUAACACGUAUGCAACCUGCCCCUGUCAGGGGGACAACCCGCCGAGAGGCGGGCUAAACCCGCGUACAUGCCACCGGGGCAUCCCGGAGGCAGGAAAGGCUUCGGCCGGACAGGGAUGGGCAUGCGGCGCAUUAGGCAGUAGGCGGGGUAACGGCCCACCUAACCGACGAUGCGUAGGGGUUCUGAGAGGAAGGUCCCCCACACUGGUACUGAGACACGGACCAGACUCCUACGGGAGGCAGCAG